Molecule: ribosomal RNA, 541 nt
Filed under: uncultured bacterium
Lineage: Bacteria
Description: bacterial SSU rRNA
Rfam family: Bacterial small subunit ribosomal RNA
Source: RNAcentral
UCCUACGGGAGGCAGCAGUGGGGAAUAUUGCACAAUGGGGGAAACCCUGAUGCAGCCAUGCCGCGUGUGUGAAGAAGGCCUUCGGGUUGUAAAGCACUUUCAGUUGUGAGGAAAAGUUAGUAGUUAAUACCUGCUAGCCGUGACGUUAACAACAGAAGAAGCACCGGCUAACUCCGUGCCAGCAGCCGCGGUAAUACGGAGGGUGCGAGCGUUAAUCGGAAUUACUGGGCGUAAAGCGCACGCAGGCGGUUUGUUAAGCUAGAUGUGAAAGCCCCGGGCUCAACUUGGGAUGGUCAUUUAGAACUGGCAGACUAGAGUCUUGGAGAGGGGAGUGGAAUUUCAGGUGUAGCGGUGAAAUGCGUAGAUAUUAGGAGGAACAUCAGUGGCGAAGGCGACUCCCUGGCCAAAGACUGACGCUCAUGUGCGAAAGUGUGGGUAGCGAACAGGAUUAGAUACCCUGGUAGUCCACACCGUAAACGCUGUCUACUAGCUGUUUGUGAGUUUAACUCGUGAGUAGCGAAGCUAACGCGCUAAGUAGACC